GUGGGGCGGGGAUGCUUGCAUCCGCCGACGACCGGCGCACGGGUGCGGAACGCGUAUGGAACCUGCCCCUGUCAGGGGAAUAGCCCAGAGAAAUUUGGAUUAAUGCCCCAUGGUACCUUUAGGACACAUGUUCUUAAGGUCAAAGAUUUAUCGGGCAGGGAUGGCCAUGCGUACCAUUAGCUAGUUGGUAAGGUAACGGCUUACCAAGGCAACGAUGGUUAGGGGCCCUGAGAGGGGGAUCCCCCACACUGGUACUGAGACACGGACCAGACUCCUACGGGAGGCAGCAGUGAGGAAUAUUGGACAAUGGGCGGGAGCCUGAUCCAGCCAUGCCGCGUGCAGGAUGACGGCCCUAUGGGUUGUAAACUGCUUUUGUACGGGAAGAAACCUGUCCACGUGUGGACAGCUGACGGUACCGUAAGAAUAAGGACCGGCUAACUCCGUGCCAGCAGCCGCGGUAAUACGGAGGGUCCGAGCGUUAUCCGGAAUCAUUGGGUUUAAAGGGUCCGUAGGCGGGCCUAUAAGUCAGGGGUGAAAGGCCACGGCUCAACCGUGGGACUGCCCUUGAUACUGUAGGUUUUGAGUUAUGGUGGGGUUGCCGGAACAUGUGGUGUAGCGGUGAAAUGCAUAGAUAUCACAUAGAACACCGA
Molecule: ribosomal RNA, 650 nt
Filed under: uncultured bacterium
Lineage: Bacteria
Description: bacterial SSU rRNA
Rfam family: Bacterial small subunit ribosomal RNA
Source: RNAcentral